UUGCAAUGAUCACAACCAUCCACCGAUGGCGGAGUGUCCUAAAAUAAGCCAUAAGCGCAAGCGCAAAGCUUAGUACUUUUAACAAUAUUGUCAUCUGAUUUACAAUAUGCUCGAAACAGGAUCAAUGAAUCCCAAACUACAGGCUGAAGAUUCUUGAAUGUGAUAUGUAUUAGCUGUAUUGACACAAUAUUUUUUCUUAAAUAUAAGAUAUUCAAUUACCAUAAAGAAUGAGGUCUUAAUACUACUCAACAACCUUGAUAAAAGUAGGAAUGAUGCAAAAAUCUAGUCUGAAAGAAAAGUAUUAAGUAUUACGUUUCAUCUGUUUCGAAUGACAAUUAAUUCUUGCUGCUUUUUUUGUGUUCGAUGAUACCACCUCGUUCUAUAUUUUGUUUGUUGCCGUUAUAUUUCAGUAUACGAAAAUAAACAAAAAAUAAAUUUGGCAACUCUGAAAAUAUAUUGCCAGCAAAAUGUCAUGGUUUAUUUGCCAGGCUUGUUCCAAGUUUCUCAACACAAAAUUGAGAUUUUGUAGGUGUCGUUAUGUAUGAAUUUUAUUGCUGAAAAAUAAUUUUAAGGGCUGCCAGAUUUUUUUAUUGUUGCAAUAUGUAACUGUCGUAUUUUAUUACCAUAUUAGAACGUAGGUUGGUUUUAUUUAUGUAACGAUCCCAAUGUUUGUUUUAGACAUUUCAUUCGUCAUGAGUUGCCGGGGAAAAACUCAACUUAGCGUAAACGGUCACCUCUACACUUGCGAUAAAACAACUGAUGACGCCAUGUACUGGUGUUGCAAUCAGCGCCGUGUUCUUGGCUGUACAGCUCGUGCUAAUACUGGACGUAGAAAGCAGGGAGAACCGCCAGCCAUCAAACUGCGCGGCUUUCACAAUCAUGGAAUCAUCGCUGAACGACGCCGACCCGGAGAAUAUGCCAGGCUGAAGGAGCAGUAUGACCGUGAACGGAAAGUGUUGCCAGAUGUGGAGCCUUGUCGCCCUGCCCGUUCCAGAUCGAAAAAGAAGCAAAACUGAAUCAAUUUUCUGUGCUCUGUCUUGAUGUUCUAGUAGUACAGUUGUGACCGUGGCUAUGUUUCAAGAUGCCCAAGUCACUAAUAUAUGUAUUGUGACAAAUUUAUGAUUUUUUUUUCUCGUGAUGCUCACCUUGUAUGAAAUUUCAAAACAUUCUCUAAUGAGGUAUCAUAAACUUUGCAGAUAUUUCAUUCGUCAUAAGCGCACGUGGUAAAACUCAGCUGAACGUUAACGGAUAUCUCUACACGCGUGGCAAACUUCACGGCGACUUUCAGUACUGGUCAUGUAAUCAGUACAGAGUUUUAAGUUGCACAGCUCGUGCUUCGACGGUCCGCUGCAAACAGGGUGAGAAACCAACCAUAAAACUUCGCGGUUUCCACAACCAUCCGAUUAUAGUGGACCGACGUCGGCCCGGAGAGUGCGCACGGUUGAAAGAGCUGUACGCUCCUGCAGCGAGGCAAGUGUUGCCAGACAGGAGGAAAUGUCAGCAGCUCCCCAAGCAGCAGAUGCCAUUGCCACCGAUCGAACAGUGUUUUGUGAAAGAAGAGAAAUAAUGAACGCGCUGUUGGGUGUGUGAAUGGAGGCUCUAAUAGGAUAAGUUUUAUGUUCGAUCUAGUACUGCAUCUGAUGUAGUCUGGCUUUGAGCAUAUCAUUUGAAUAAUUCUCUCUGAAACGCAAAACAUCAUUCAAGGAAUUUAUCAGAAUAACACUGAUAGUUUUAAUGUAGCACUUAAAAACAAGAUUCUACAAUUAAGCUUUGAAAUUCUCCAAUUGGGGCUCCAGUUGUCCUAGUGGACAAGACUUCGGGAAUGCAAUGGCAGGUAAAAAUCCUUCUAUUAUUUCUGGAAGUGUUAAAGGGACAUACAGUUGAUAAAGAAGCAAGUCAAGUGCUACUGGUUACGUAGGGUCUGAAAAAAUGUUUUGAAAUAAAACAGUGAAAAAAUUUUAGGGAUACAUGAAGUUGGAAUGUAAGAGAAGAGCCACCAACCCACAGAA
Long non-coding RNA from Aedes albopictus (Asian tiger mosquito), 2009 nucleotides. RefSeq lists it as uncharacterized. The transcript is spliced from 3 exons. Lineage: Eukaryota; Metazoa; Arthropoda; Insecta; Diptera; Culicidae. The record is from RefSeq and is a predicted model, not a curated record.